This is a long non-coding RNA of Boleophthalmus pectinirostris (great blue-spotted mudskipper), 175 nucleotides long. RefSeq lists it as uncharacterized. The transcript has 3 exons. The record is from RefSeq and is a predicted model, not a curated record. NCBI's taxonomy places the organism in Eukaryota, Metazoa, Chordata, Actinopteri, Gobiiformes, Gobiidae.
AGAUGCUCAGAUUUCCUCCAAUAGAUACUCAGGCACUUACUAGAUAAAGAUUCAAAACACUAUUUUAAAAGAAGAAUUUCGAACCAAACAGUAUGGAGUCAUGACACACAUGGAAGAUCAGAAUGACUACAGCAGCCAGAGUGAAGAUGACAGUCCCAAUGAAAGUUGGUCCUGG